AGUGAACGCUGGCGGUAGGCCUAACACAUGCAAGUCGAACGGCAGCACAGUAAGAGCUUGCUCUUACGGGUGGCGAGUGGCGGACGGGUGAGGAAUACAUCGGAAUCUACUUUUUCGUGGGGGAUAACGUAGGGAAACUUACGCUAAUACCGCAUACGACCUACGGUUGAAAGCAGGGGAUCUUCGGACCUUGCGCGAUUGAAUGAGCCGAUGUCGGAUUAGCUAGUUGGCGGGGUAAAGGCCCACCAAGGCGACGAUCCGUAGCUGGUCUGAGAGGAUGAUCAGCCACACUGGAACUGAGACACGGUCCAGACUCCUACGGGAGGCAGCAGUGGGGAAUAUUGGACAAUGGGCGCAAGCCUGAUCCAGCCAUACCGCGUGGGUGAAGAAGGCCUUCGGGUUGUAAAGACCUUUUGUUGGGAAAGAAAAGCAGCAGGUUAAUACCACGCUGUUCUGACGGUACCCAAAGAAUAAGCACCGGCUAACUUCGUG
Molecule: ribosomal RNA, 492 nt
Filed under: uncultured bacterium
Lineage: Bacteria
Description: partial 16S ribosomal RNA
Rfam family: Bacterial small subunit ribosomal RNA
Source: RNAcentral